Long non-coding RNA from Lytechinus pictus (painted urchin), 2259 nucleotides. RefSeq lists it as uncharacterized. The transcript has 3 exons. NCBI's taxonomy places the organism in Eukaryota, Metazoa, Echinodermata, Echinoidea, Temnopleuroida, Toxopneustidae. The record is from RefSeq and is a predicted model, not a curated record.
AAGGUUUAGCCAGGAAUAAAAGUCAGACAUCAAAAAUUUCUAAAUCGAUAUACAUCUAGGUAAAGUCUAGGUAAAGUCACCGAAGGGUUAGCUUUACAUUCCAGGUCUAGAUAGAUCGAGAGUCUAUCGAUAGUCUAGAUCUAGACCUUAUUUAGAUACAUGAAUGUUGUCAUGCAGCACUGAUUCUGGUUGGACUAGAUCUAUACUUUCUUACAAAUAGAACUAGACCUAGUGCAUGAGAUUAUGAAAUUAUGUUGUUAAAAUCAAAUGAACUAAGAUUCGGAAUAAAAAGAUGCAGAUUUUUUUUUUGUUGGGGGGGGGGCAGACAUGUGAAAAAAAUUAGAGAAACCUGAAAUUCAGAAAGUGAGGGCCCGAACCUACCAAUAUUGCCUAGGGCUGUUUUUUGCAUUUUCUAAAGUAAAAUUGAAGGAUUUCAUGCAAUUCUUUUUUUUUAUGAAGGUUUUCACAUUUCAGCUCCCACCCAAGCCCCUCCCCCUACACUGUUAGAAAAUUUAUUCUUAAAAUAAAAUAAUUUCCUGCAGCAGAGUCUCGAGAACACCUGUCAUUUUACCAGAUUGCAUAAUCUUACAUUAUAUCAUGUAAAAUUACAGGAAAUUGGUAUUUGGUGUAUGGAACCUUACAAAUUUCCUCAAAUAAAACACCAUUUUCCUCUUUUUAAACAGACCUGUUCUGUAGAAAACUUCCUGUUUUAUGAAUUUACAGAAUGAUUCUGUUAUUGCUUUCUGCAAAAUCUUGUUUUUUUUCUGUAAAAUCUGUUUUUUUUAACAGUGUACAUACGGCCAUGAAAGAGAUCACUUGACAAUUAUUGUUCUCUCUUUUCUUUCACAAACAGGUUGAGUUUGAAGAACAAGAAAAACAGUAGAGGUCUACCCGGUACCUAUGGUUAAACAUGAUCAUAAGUGCAUGUAUCAUUUUGCAGAUUCUCAUCCAGGAUGAUGCAGCUCUACAAUUUCCAUGGAGGUGAUUGAUGAUGAUAAACAAUUGGUGAAGUAGGCCUAAUAGAACAGUGAUAGGACCACAAAGAGAAAUACAACAUACAGCAGUUAUAUGAGACUGGUGUAACAGAUGUUUUCAUUCAAGAAAUCCAACAAAUUGAAGAGUGACUUAGCUUAGGAAGCACUUGAUAAAGAUGGAAAAGGUUUUUUUUUUCAAGUCCAAUUUUUUUUUUUUUUAAUUAUCAUCACAACCCCAAAUUCAUGAAGUAUGAAAUUUCCUGUCGAUUUUCAUUAAAACUGGUUGCAAAAGGAAAAGCUAUAAACAUACAAAUAGGAGCGGCGAAGUGAAGUUGAAAGUGGGGGGGGGGGGGAGGCACAGGGAAAAUGCUGUAUUAUGUGAAAUUUUAAAGAAGUUGCGAGAGAGCAAAAUUUUGACAUUUUUAAAAAGAAAAUCCAAUUUUGUGAUAGAUUUCGACAAAAUAUUCAGAAUGAUAUAUUUCACCCUUUUUUUUUUUGGGGGGGGGGGGCAAGAGUCCUUCAAGCCCCCCCCCCCCCCUCCAUCUGUAGUGUAUGAAACUGCUUAUCUACCCCCACUCACAUGAAUUAUUAAACUUAAUGCACAAAGGAUUUCCUUGUUUCAAAGGGCACUCGUCAUGGUGACCAUAAAACGGGUCCUUCUCAGGUGAAAGGGGCACAGAACAAAUUCUUUAGGAGCACUUUUCUGGGGUAAAAGGGGGCAUUUAUUCGAGAAAGGGCACUUACAAGAAGGCGAGGGGGCACUUUUUAACACUUAAAACGGGCCCCCAGAUGAAAGGGCACAGAACACGUUCAGGGGGACAUUUUUUGGUAAAAAUUUGCAUACAAGGAAGAGCACUUGGUAACACCUAAAACAGGUUCUCGUCAGGUGAAAGGGACACAGUACACGUUCGUGAGGGGGCAUUUUUCUUACAUAAAAUUAAAGGCACUUUUCAGUGCUUCAAAAAGUAGGGGGAACUGUGCCCCCCAGGAUCGCUGCCCCUGCAUACAAAAAACAUUUUUGUUCGAUUCAAAGUAUUAAAAUACGCUUAAGAAAAAAAGUAAGGCUAAAUCCUCUGAUAAUGUGAUAUUUUUUAUAGCUAUUAAUAAAAUUCACAACUAACCAGAAAAUGCCUUCAUGUCUUUCAUUUGUAUUCAUAUAGUAUUUGUACAGAGCUAAAAUGAAAGGGAUUUGGAAUUGGCAAAAUUCAAAUGAGAUGGAGAUCGAGAGAGAGAAAGAGUGAUGAGAAGGGGGUUGAAAAGAGAUGAGAAAGAAAUGGAGGGGCAC